AGGAUUCCCCUAGUAACUGCGAGUGAAGCGGGAAAAGCUCAAAUUUAAAAUCUGGUGGUCUUUGGCCAUCCGAGUUGUAAUUUAGAGAAGCGUCUUCCGCGCUGGGCCGUGCACAAGUCUCCUGGAAUGGAGCGUCAUAGAGGGUGAGAAUCCCGUCUUUGGCACGGACCCCCAGGGCUUCUGUGAUGCGCUCUCGACGAGUCGAGUUGUUUGGGAAUGCAGCUCAAAAUGGGUGGUGAACUCCAUCUAAAGCUAAAUAUUGGCGAGAGACCGAUAGCGAACAAGUACCGUGAGGGAAAGAUGAAAAGCACUUUGGAAAGAGAGUGAAACAGUACGUGAAAUUGUUGAAAGGGAAACGCUUGAAGUCAGUCGCGUCGACCGAGACUCAGCCUUGCCUCGGCUUGGUGUACUUCUCGGCUUGACGGGGUCAGCAUCAAUUUUGAUCCUUGGAUAAUGGCAAGGGAAAGGUAGCACCUUUUUAGGUGUGUUAUAGUCCUCUGUCGCAUGCAAGGGUCAGGAUUGAGGAACUCAGCAUGCACCUUUGGGUGUCGGGGCCUUGGCCCACGUUACGUGCUU
This 576-nucleotide ribosomal RNA is filed under the name Russula heterophylla. Its description in RNAcentral is "LSU rRNA". It matches the Rfam family "Eukaryotic large subunit ribosomal RNA", at positions 71 to 614 of the family's 3401-position model. The record is from RNAcentral. Lineage: Eukaryota; Fungi; Basidiomycota; Agaricomycetes; Russulales; Russulaceae.